This 735-nucleotide ribosomal RNA is filed under the name Serratia marcescens. Its description in RNAcentral is "bacterial SSU rRNA". It matches the Rfam family "Bacterial small subunit ribosomal RNA", at positions 43 to 732 of the family's 1533-position model. Lineage: Bacteria; Pseudomonadati; Pseudomonadota; Gammaproteobacteria; Enterobacterales; Yersiniaceae. The record is from RNAcentral.
CGCAGCUUACACAUGCAGCUCGAGCGGGUAGCACAGGGAGAGCUUGCUCCCUGGGAUGACNAGCGGCGAGGACGGGUGAGUAAUGUCUGGGAAACUGCCUGAUGGAGGGGGAUAACUACUGGAAACGGUAGCUAAUACCGCAUAACGUCGCAAGACCAAAGGAGAGGGGGACCUUCGGGCCUCUUGCCAUCAGAUGUGCCCAGAUGGGAUUAGCUAGUAGGUGGGGUAAUGGCUCACCUAGGCAAGACGAUCCCUAGCUGGUCUGAGAGGAUGACCAGCCACACUGGAAUGACUGAGACACGGUCCAGACUCCUAACGGGAGGCAGCAGUGGGGAAUAUUGCCAAUUCAGGCACAAUGGGCGCAAGCCUGAUGCAGCCAUGCCGCGUGUGUGAAGAAGGCCUUCGGGUUGUAAAGCACUUUCAGCGAGGAGGAAGGUGGUGANCUUAAUACGUUCAUCAAUUGACGUUACUCGCAGAAGAAGGCACCGGCUAACUCCGUGCCAGCANCCUGCGGUAAUACGGAGGGUGCAAGCGUUAAUCGGAAUUACUGGGCGUAAAGCGCACAGCAGGCGGUUUGUUAAGUCGUAAGAUGUGAAAUCCCCGGAUGCUCAACCUGGGAACUGCAUUUGAAACUGGCAAGCUAGAGUCUCGUAGAGGGGGGUAGAGAUUCCANGUGUAGCGGCAUGAAAUGCGUAGAGAUCUGGAGGAAUACCGGUGGCGAAGGCGGCCCCCCAU